AUUGAACGCUGGCGGCAGGCUUAACACAUGCAAGUCGAGCGGGGUGAUGGUGCUUGCACUAUCACUUAGCGGCGGACGGGUGAGUAAUGCUUAGGAAUCUGCCUAUUAGUGGGGGACAACAUCUCGAAAGGGAUGCUAAUACCGCAUACGUCCUACGGGAGAAAGCAGGGGAUCACUUGUGACCUUGCGCUAAUAGAUGAGCCGAAGUCGGAUUAGCUAGUUGGUGGGGUAAAGGCCUACCAAGGCGACGAUCUGUAGCGGGUCUGAGAGGAUGCUCCGCCACACUGGGACUGAGACACGGCCCAGACUCCUACGGGAGGCAGCAGUGGGGAAUAUUGGACAAUGGGGGGAACCCUGAUCCAGCCAUGCCGCGUGUGUGAAGAAGGCCUUAUGGUUGUAAAGCACUUUAAGCGAGGAGGAGGCUCUUUUGGUUAAUACCCAAGAUGAGUGGACGUUACUCGCAGAAUAAGCACCGGCCAACUCUGUGCCAGCCGCCGCCGUAA
Molecule: ribosomal RNA, 503 nt
Filed under: uncultured bacterium
Lineage: Bacteria
Description: partial 16S ribosomal RNA
Rfam family: Bacterial small subunit ribosomal RNA
Source: RNAcentral